RNAcentral lists this ribosomal RNA (468 nucleotides) under uncultured bacterium. Its description in RNAcentral is "partial 16S ribosomal RNA". It matches the Rfam family "Bacterial small subunit ribosomal RNA", at positions 28 to 507 of the family's 1533-position model. The record is from RNAcentral.
GACGAACGCUGGCGGCGUGCUUAACACAUGCAAGUCGAACGGAAAGGCCCUGCUUUUGCGGGGUGCUCGAGUGGCGAACGGGUGUGUAACACGUGAGUAACCUGCCCUUGACUUUGGGAUAACUUCAGGAAACUGGGGCUAAUACCGGAUAGGAGCUCCUGCUGCAUGGUGGGGGUUGGAAAGUUUCGGCGGUUGGGGCUGGACUCGCGGCUUAUCAGCUUGUUGGUGGGGUAGUGGCUUACCAAGGCUUUGACGGGUAGCCGGCCUGAGAGGGUGACCGGCCACAUUGGGACUGAGAUACGGCCCAGACUCCUACGGGAGGCAGCAGUGGGGAAUAUUGCACAAUGGGCGGAAGCCUGAUGCAGCAACGCCGCGUGCGGGAUGACGGCCUUCGGGUUGUAAACCGCUUUCGCCUGUGACGAAGCGUGAGUGACGGUAAUGGGUAAAGAAGCACCGGCUAACUACGUG